GCAGCAUUUGUGGACAUAGUCAGCACUCAUGCACAUGCCGCUGUGUUUGUGGAGCAAUGCACAGUUAUGAAAGCAGAUGCUUCUUUAAAAUAAUAAUAAGGCUUCAAUCAGGCAGUCAAAGGAGAAGUGACUUGACAGUGCUACUGAACAGCCUUUAGGAAUACACAGGUUUUUUAAAAAAAAAUGUUCUUCACGCGACACAGCAGAGCAACCCUGCCUUUGGCCCAGACAGCAGACUUAAUGACCUUCAGUGGGAUUUUCAGAAGUGCCUCAGGUUUGCUAGAAGGACAUUUCUUAUCCUUAAUUACUUGUGCUCCUAAAUUAUUUAGGUGUCUUUGACAAUAUCACCACUAAUCCUAAUGAAGUUGAAGGCAGGCUCUUUAAUAAGCAUAAUGUUGCAGUCUGCACCAUUUGUGUCCCUGGUAGAACUUGUGCUGCUCAGCUGAUGGGAGCUGAUUCAAUCUGUGUAUCUCACCUACCCAGAGAUAAGCAUCCUGAAUGCUCCUGUUUUUCCUUCCGUCAAAAAAUAAGAGACCUAUUUGGUGAACACCCAUCGAUGAAGGAUGUAAAUUGUGGACCUGGACACACAGGCGUGACCUGUAAUGGAGAAGCUAUCAUGUACCUGCUUUGGCUCCCAGUGGAAGAUGAGGAUAGGUUUCUUCCAAUUAUAUGGUCUCUGUUUGGAUUGCUCCUUGCUAAGAUGACCUUGCAUCAGUCCAGUCAGCAGGAAAUUCCUUGUUCCUUCCCCAAGGUAUCCAUUUAGAGACCUGGACGUCAGAGCUGAAAAUUGGAUGAUGAUGAAGGGAAAAAUAACUUGAAGGCAAGGCAAGAAGGACCAGAAGAACAGGGCAAGCACGGUAGAGAAGGAGAGACCCACCGCAGCGGGGAAAGCCAAGGACAAGGUAAAUCUCUGGCUGAUUUGUGAUCUUCUGGUGAGAACACAGAUGGAAGAUGGUGGGGGAAACUUUCAGGGAACUGUCCAAA
This 984-nucleotide long non-coding RNA is filed under the name Calidris pugnax (ruff). Its description in RNAcentral is "lncRNA (ENSCPUG00000002880.1)". The record is from RNAcentral. Lineage: Eukaryota; Metazoa; Chordata; Aves; Charadriiformes; Scolopacidae.